UACGUAGGGACCGAGCGUUGUCCGGAUUUAUUGGGCGUAAAGAGCGUGUAGGCGGCCUGACAGGUCUGCUGUGAAAACUCGAGGCUCAACCUCGAGAUGUCGGCGGAAACCGUCUGGCUAGAGUCCGGAAGAGGAGAGUGGAAUUCCUGGUGUAGCGGUGAAAUGCGCAGAUAUCGGGAAGAACACCCGUGGCGAAGGCGGCUCUCUGGGACGGUACUGACGCUGAGACGCGAAAGCGUGGGGAGCGAACAGG
This 253-nucleotide ribosomal RNA is filed under the name uncultured bacterium. RNAcentral's name for it is "partial 16S ribosomal RNA". It matches the Rfam family "Bacterial small subunit ribosomal RNA", at positions 524 to 776 of the family's 1533-position model. The record is from RNAcentral.